This 497-nucleotide ribosomal RNA is filed under the name uncultured bacterium. RNAcentral's name for it is "partial 16S ribosomal RNA". It matches the Rfam family "Bacterial small subunit ribosomal RNA", at positions 28 to 507 of the family's 1533-position model. The record is from RNAcentral.
GAUGAACGCUGGCGGCGUGCCUAAUACAUGCAAGUCGAGCGAACAGACGAGGAGCUUGCUCCUCUGACGUUAGCGGCGGACGGGUGAGUAACACGUGGAUACCCUACCUAUAAGACUGGGAUAACUUCGGGAAACCGGCGCUAAUACCGGAUAAUCUAUUGAACCGCAUGGUUCAAUAGUGAAAGACGGUUUUGCUGUCACUUAUAGCUGGAUCCGCGCCGCAUUAGCUAGUUGGUAAGGUAACGGCUUACCAAGGCGACGAUGCGUAGCCGACCUGAGAGGGUGAUCGGCCACACUGGAACUUAGACACGGUCCAUACGCCUACGGGAGGCAGCAGUAGGGAAUCUUCCGCAAUGGGCGAAAGCCUGACGGAGCAACGCCGCGUGAGUGAUGAAGGUCUUCGGAUCGUAAAACUCUGUUAUUAGGGAAGAACAGAUGUGUAAUUAACUAUGCACGUCUUGACGGUACCUAAUCAGAAAGCCACGGCUAACUACGUG